Molecule: ribosomal RNA, 816 nt
Filed under: uncultured bacterium
Lineage: Bacteria
Description: bacterial SSU rRNA
Rfam family: Bacterial small subunit ribosomal RNA
Source: RNAcentral
GUGCUUACACAUGCAGUCGAACGGUAGCAGGCCUUCGGGCGCUGACGAGUGGCGGACGGGUGAGUAAUGCAUAGGAAUCUGCCCUGUAGUGGGGGACAACUUAGGGAAACUUAAGCUAAUACCGCAUACGCCCUUCGGGGGAAAGCGGGGGACCUUCGGGCCUCGCGCUAUAGGAUGAGCCUAUGUUGGAUUAGCUAGUUGGUAGGGUAAAGGCCUACCAAGGCUGCGAUCCAUAGCUGGUCUGAGAGGAUGAUCAGCCACACUGGGACUGAGACACGGCCCAGACUCCUACGGGAGGCAGCAGUGGGGAAUAUUGGACAAUGGGCGCAAGCCUGAUCCAGCAAUACCGCGUGUGUGAAGAAGGCCUGAGGGUUGUAAAGCACUUUCAAUGGGGAGGAAAAAGGUAGGUUUAAUACGUCUGCCCUUGACAUUACCUAUAGAAGAAGCACCGGCUAACUCCGUGCCAGCAGCCGCGGUAAUACGGAGGGUGCGAGCGUUAAUCGGAAUUACUGGGCGUAAAGCGUGCGUAGGCGGCCUGUUAAGUCAGAUGUGAAAGCCCUGGGCUCAACCUGGGAACGGCAUUUGAAACUGGCAAGCUAGAGUUAGGUAGAGGGGAGUGGAAUUUCAGGUGUAGCGGUGAAAUGCGUAGAUAUCUGAAGGAACACCAGUGGCGAAGGCGGCUCCCUGGACCCAAACUGACGCUGAGGUACGAAAGCGUGGGUAGCAAACAGGAUUAGAUACCCUGGUAGUCCACGCUGUAAACGAUGUCGACUAGCCGUUGGGCCCUUCUAGGGUUUAGUGGCGCAGCUAACGCAU